Molecule: ribosomal RNA, 254 nt
Filed under: uncultured bacterium
Lineage: Bacteria
Description: partial 16S ribosomal RNA
Rfam family: Bacterial small subunit ribosomal RNA
Source: RNAcentral
CUUUCUUUGCUGGCGACCGGCGCACGGGUGAGUAACACGUAUCCAACCUGCCCUUUACUCGGGGAUAGCCUUUCGAAAGAAGGAUUAAUACCCGAUAGCAUAAUGAUUCCGCAUGGUUUCAUUAUUAAAGGAUUCCGGUAAAGGAUGGGGAUGCGUUCCAUUAGGUUGUUGGUGAGGUAACGGCCCACCAAGCCUUCGAUGGAUAGGGGUUCUGAGAGGAAGGUCCCCCACAUUGGAACUGAGACACGGUCCAA